AAGAUGGCAUCAUGAGUCCGNAUGUUCACAUGAUUAAAGGUAUUCCGGUAGACGAUGGGGAUGCGUUCCAUUAGGUAGUAGGCGGGGUAACGGCCACCUAGCCAACGAUGGAUAGGGGUUCUGAGAGGAAGGUCCCCCACAUUGGAACUGAGACACGGUCCAAACUCCUACGGGAGGCAGCAGUGAGGAAUAUUGGUCAAUGGACGAGAGUCUGAACCAGCCAAGUAGCGUGCAGGAUGACGGCCCUAUGGGUUGUAAACUGCUUUUAUAAGGGAAUAAAGUGGGAGUCGUGACUCUUUUUGCAUGUACCUUAUGAAUAAGGACCGGCUAAUUCCGUG
RNAcentral lists this ribosomal RNA (338 nucleotides) under uncultured bacterium. Its description in RNAcentral is "bacterial SSU rRNA". It matches the Rfam family "Bacterial small subunit ribosomal RNA", at positions 170 to 507 of the family's 1533-position model. The record is from RNAcentral.